GGGGAGUAAAACGGAACAAAUGUGAAAGAAUUGAUAUAGCUUCCAAACUGGGACUCAGUAUUAUUCUUUCUUACUAACCCACAAGGACGACAUUGAUCCUGACUUGCGCUUAAACUGUUGGAAUCAUCGCCCCCAACAACCAAUAGUAAAGGAUGUGAAUAUCUGAAUCCUUCAAGGCCGCAUCUGUAAAAAUGAAACUGGAACACCAAGCUGUUGGCGUGUGGUCCCAUUCAAGUGGGCACCGCCUCAUAUGUUUUAUAAUAUAAUAUAUUUAUAUUAUAAUAUAUAAAUAAAUAAAUAAAUAAAUAAGGGGCAUGUGCUUUGUGUGCAAGAAAUUAUGAUACCAGGAAAACAAGAAAAAAAAAAACAAAGGCAGAGGGUGUGUGUGUGCUUGAUUGAGGUGACGCCGCAAAAAAACAAGAAAAAAAAGGAACAAGAGAGAGUGAUGCGAGAGAAAGAAAAGAAAACGAAGCAGUAAAUUUGAUUCCCUCGAUCGGACGGUCGAUCCUUACCCGAUCUUGAAGAAAUUAUGAUAUGUUGCUCUAUUCACCAAGCUCUAGAAGGUGAAUGGAUUUGAUUCUUGGUUUGGCUCUCUCAACUGCCUCUAGUUGAUCUAGAAGGAACUCUGUGUAGCCCGUUAAGUUAUUAAUGGAGGAUUUUGAAGUGGACUACGGCCCAUGGUUUUUCCUUAUCCUUGGAGGAUUUUCCAUGUAAAAAUUGAUGUGUCGUGCGUUGGUGUUUAUCUGUUAUUUUGCUUGGCUAUUAUUAUUGGUAUUGCCUUAGUUUAUUGUUGUUGCUCAUUUUGAUUCGCACAAAGAGGGAAAAGUAUUGAUCUGUGGGUUAUUAUUAUUUCCAUUGCACUCGUACUGCUUAUCUGUAUUUGAA
This is a long non-coding RNA of Jatropha curcas, 885 nucleotides long. RefSeq lists it as uncharacterized. The record is from RefSeq and is a predicted model, not a curated record. Lineage: Eukaryota; Viridiplantae; Streptophyta; Magnoliopsida; Malpighiales; Euphorbiaceae.